Molecule: ribosomal RNA, 493 nt
Filed under: uncultured bacterium
Lineage: Bacteria
Description: bacterial SSU rRNA
Rfam family: Bacterial small subunit ribosomal RNA
Source: RNAcentral
UUCUGGCUCAGGAUGAACGCUGGCGGCGUGCUUAACACAUGCAAGUCGAACGAAGCAACUAUCUUGCUUGCAAGAGAGUUGACUUAGUGGCGGACGGGUGAGUAACGCGUGGGUAACCUGCCUCAUACAGGGGGAUAACAGUUGGAAACGACUGCUAAGACCGCAUAACCCGCUAGUGUCGCAUGACACGGACGGAAAAUAUUUAUAGGUAUGAGAUGGGCCCGCGUCUGAUUAGCUAGUUGGUAAGGUAACGGCUUACCAAGGCGACGAUCAGUAGCCGACUUGAGAGAGUGAUCGGCCACAUUGGGACUGAGACACGGCCCAAACUCCUACGGGAGGCAGCAGUGGGGAAUAUUGGACAAUGGGGGAAACCCUGAUCCAGCGAACCGCCGCGUGAGUGAAGAAGUAUUUCGGUAUGUAAAGCUCUAUCAGCAGGGAAGAUAAUGACAGUACCUGACUAAGAAGCCCCGGCUAACUACGUGCCAGCAGCCGC